This 72-nucleotide transfer RNA is filed under the name Pyramimonas parkeae. Its description in RNAcentral is "tRNA-Cys". It matches the Rfam family "tRNA". Rfam says of the family: Transfer RNA (tRNA) molecules are approximately 80 nucleotides in length. Their secondary structure includes four short double-helical elements and three loops (D, anti-codon, and T loops). Further hydrogen bonds mediate the characteristic L-shaped molecular structure. tRNAs have two regions of fundamental functional importance: the anti-codon, which is responsible for specific mRNA codon recognition, and the 3' end, to which the tRNAs corresponding amino acid is attached (by aminoacyl-tRNA synthetases). tRNAs cope with the degeneracy of the genetic code in two manners: having more than one tRNA (with a specific anti-codon) for a particular amino acid; and 'wobble' base-pairing, i.e. permitting non-standard base-pairing at the 3rd anti-codon position. The record is from RNAcentral. Lineage: Eukaryota; Viridiplantae; Chlorophyta; Pyramimonadophyceae; Pyramimonadales; Pyramimonadaceae.
GGUUGAAUAACAUAAUUGGUAAUGUAUUGGAUUGCAAAUCCUUUGAUGACGGUUCAAGUCCGUCUUUAACCU